This 255-nucleotide ribosomal RNA is filed under the name uncultured bacterium. RNAcentral's name for it is "partial 16S ribosomal RNA". It matches the Rfam family "Bacterial small subunit ribosomal RNA", at positions 524 to 777 of the family's 1533-position model. The record is from RNAcentral.
UACGAAGGGUGCAAGCGUUACUCGGAAUUACUGGGCGUAAAGGGUGCGUAGGUGGUUUUUUAAGUCCGUUGUGAAAUCCCUGGGCUCAACCUGGGAAUGGCAGUGGAUACUGGAAAGCUAGAGUGCGGUAGAGGGUAGUGGAAUUCCCGGUGUAGCAGUGAAAUGCGUAGAGAUCGGGAGGAACACCAGUGGCGGAAGGCGGCUACCUGGACCAGCACUGACACUGAGGCACGAAAGCGUGGGGAGCAAACAGGG